UACGAAGGGGGCUAGCGUUGCUCGGAAUCACUGGGCGUAAAGCGCACGUAGGCGGAUUGCCAAGUCAGGGGUGAAAUCCUGGAGCUCAACUCCAGAACUGCCUUUGAUACUGGCGAUCUCGAGUCCGGGAGAGGUGAGUGGAACUGCGAGUGUAGAGGUGAAAUUCGUAGAUAUUCGCAAGAACACCAGUGGCGAAGGCGGCUCACUGGCCCGGUACUGACGCUGAGGUGCGAAAGCGUGGGGAGCAAACAGG
This 253-nucleotide ribosomal RNA is filed under the name uncultured bacterium. RNAcentral describes it as "partial 16S ribosomal RNA". It matches the Rfam family "Bacterial small subunit ribosomal RNA", at positions 524 to 776 of the family's 1533-position model. The record is from RNAcentral.